This 621-nucleotide long non-coding RNA is filed under the name Anser brachyrhynchus (Pink-footed goose). Its description in RNAcentral is "lncRNA (ENSABRG00000008756.1)". The record is from RNAcentral. Lineage: Eukaryota; Metazoa; Chordata; Aves; Anseriformes; Anatidae.
GCCAACAAAAAGCAGCUCUCUGCCAGAAUCAUAAUGAAAAUCACAGAAACAAGAAAUGUGGAGGCCUAUUGUCAACAAGUCAUAUGAUCAUACUUCCUGCCACCACAGGAUUUUUACCUACUGCGCCCAAACAAGAGUUUUGUGCCAAGUAACUUUUAGGAAGCCUGAGCUCAGGAAUUCCUGCUUGUCUAUGACAGCGUAAAGAUAACAUUCCCAGAUCUCUUUGGAAAAUGAUACUUAAAUGCUUAGCAUUGCUGGAUUUUUCCAUUCUACAGCAGCUAUAUACCAGAAAGAUGCACGAUUGUGGAGGUGAAGAACAAGAAAGGAAAAAAGAACAGAUGAUUUCUUGUUGUCUACAUGUAAAUUCGUGUUUCAAAUAGUAAUAUAAAAUAGUUUUUUUUUUUUUUUUAACAUAUUGCUAAUUCACUAUGGUUUGGCUAUAAACAGCAAACAAUGGCAAUGUUUAUACUAAUAAGGAACAUUUAGUAACAACUGUAAGAACAACUGUAAGCACACACAUACAGUAUAUUUUGCCCCCAAAUCUUAAGAUUUAAAGCCCUCCUCUGCUUGUUGAGAGGGCAAGCGAAUAAACAAAUUCCUAACCAAAAUUGCUUCUCUAUU